CCUGGAGAACUCCAUUGACAGAGGAGCCUGGCUGCAGUCCAAGGGGUUGCAAAGAGUCGGAAAUGACUGAGUGACUAACUCUGCACUUGUUCACAUGCGUGCCUGUGUGUUCAGUCACUUCAGUUGUGUCUGACUCUUUGUGACCCUGUGGACUCUCGCCUGCCAGGCUGCUCUGUCCAUGAGAUUCUCUAGGCAAGGAUACUAGAGUGGGUUGCCAUGUGCUCCUCCAGGGGAUCUUUCCAACCCAGGGAUCAAACCUGAGUCUCCUGCAUUGCAAGCGGAUUCUCACCCGCUGAGCCAUCUAGGUAGCCCCAGCAGUUGCUCACAGCUGCAGUCAAAGAUACUGUCUUAUCUGUAGUAACUUGUUCAAUUCAGUGCUGGUCAUUUGAUUUGAUGUGAAAUGGAAAAGAUGAUUUGAAGGCGGUCAAAUGAUCGUUUUGGACAGAGAACAUGUUAACUGAUGAUUGAGAAUUUUUUUUUUCUUUUUUGUUUGAGAUUUUCAUAUUGAUUUAAUGUGGAAAUAUUUUCAAGAAAGUUAAAGGACAUUUUAGGUAUCUGUUAUGCAUAAAGCUUAGUGCUAGAUGGUAGAGGAUGAAUCUGAAUAAAUAAGAAUGGCUAUUUCCUGGUUUUUAGGGGUUCACAAUCCAAUACAGGAUGAAAAGUAUUGGGAAAAACAAAACAAGCCCCAGGGACUUCCCUGUGGUUAAGAAUCUGCCCGUCAAUGAAGAGGACACGGUUUUGAUCCUGUGUUCUGCAACAAGAGAAGCCACCUCAAUCAGCCAGCUCACUGCAGCUGGAGAGUAGCCCCCACUUGCUGCAACUAGGGGAAGCUUGUGCAGAGCAGCAAAGGCCUAGCACAGCUGAAAAUAAGUAAGUAAAUACAAUUUAAAAAGUUUUAAAAAGUGCAGGUUAAGAAGCUAUUAAAAAAAGAAGAGAGAAUUCACCUUGCAAAUGAGUGGGAUGCAGGUUGGAUCCCUGGUUGCGGAACUAAGAUCCCACUUGAGCAGCUAAGCCUGUGCGUCACGUCUGCUAAGCCCAUGUGCUCCGGAGCCUGAGUGCCACAACUAGAGAACCUGAUGCCACAACCACUGAGUGUGUGCCCCAGAGAGAGGCUGUGUACUGCAGUGAAAGAUCCUGCAUGAUGAGAGGAAGAGCACUUGUGCUAUAGCUAAGACCCAACACAGACAAACACAUAAAUAACAAAACCCAAAAAACCCCACAAAACCCCAUAAUAGAAAAAGAAAGAAGCCCCAAAGUGCUGUGGGCUUUGGGGAAGAAAGUGUUUUCACUAGAGAGUGAGCUGCUUGGGCAAGGAGUAGUGAGGGGUAGGUGAAGAUCAGUUAAUACUCUGUACUGUGACUUUUAGUAAGAGGGUCUGUGUGUGUAUGUGUGUGUGUGGUUUCUGUGUUUAAGCUAGGGUGUCAUCAAAGGUCUGCAGGUUUUGUGUUUCAGAGAUUUAACAGUUGUGUGAAAUUGACUAGGAGGAGAAGACUGUCGUGGGAAACAAAUUUCUAACCCCUCAGGGACGGAAGAGGUGGUGUUGAGGGUGAAGAAUCACCAGGUCUUGAUCCCUGGAUGUGGUUAAGAUGAAAGGAGAGAGUAAAUGGUUUAAGCUCUUAGGUCUUUGAAAUGAUGAAUGUUUCUACUCUGCAAAUCACUCCCCCAGAAUCCAAAAUCAAAGAAUCAGACGUUGGGUGUCCACAGCCUGAACCUAUGAAGUUCUUUUGCGUCGUUGUAGUUUUUUUUAGCUGUGACGUGAAGUAAUUUUUGGAUAGAUCUGUCCACAUGAAUAUGGUUUUUUCAAAAGUAAACUUUCAUCCUGGAAUAUUUUUAGUUUAUAGAAUUGCAAAGAUAGUAUAGCAAGUCCUUGAGUGUGCCUCACUGGGUUUCUCCUGUUGCCACGUCUUUUAUUACCGUGAUUCAUCCGUGAGAACUAAGGCACCAACUCUGGUGCAUCGCUGUUAACCCUCCACCUAAUUUCUCACAAAUGCGCCUUCUGUUCCAGGAGCAACCAGGACGUCAGACUUUGUAUGUUUCUCGUUCUUUCCUUGCGCCCCUGACUUUGAUUGCUUCAGGCCUGUUGGUCAACUGUUUUGUAGAAUGUCGCUCAGUUGGAUUUGUCUGGUGUUUUUCUCGUGACUGGAGUGUGGAUGUGAAGUUAUGGGAGGAAGACCGUGCUGUUUGAUCAUAUGAUAUCGAGGAUACAUCCUGUCCACAUGACCUAUCACAGUUGGUGCUGACUUGAUUACCUGGCUGGGCUGGUGCCUCCCAGGUUUCUUUGCUGUUAACCACCCCACCCCAAUGGAGGAGAUAUCUUUGUAAAUAAUUUGGAAUUCUUCUCUAACGAACAUUACCUCUUCUCCCUUAUUUAUAUUUCUUUCUCUUUUUUUUUUUUUUACAGGUUUCUAUCUUGCCUUUGUUCACUUGACAUUAGAAUAUGAAUAUUUUUUCAUCUUUAUGCAUUUUAUUUUCCUCAUUUAUAUUCAGUCAGUUAUUUAUGCCAGUAUGGAUUCAGGGAUAUUUGUUUUAUUCUUGGGUUAUAAUUUAAUAGCACAUUAUUUUAUUGCUCGACAUUGAGGUGCCCGUGCUCAUUUGCCAUGUCCCUGUCUUUUUUUCCUCUCGAGCACUUUCUUACAUUCUGGUACUUCUGAAUGCUCCAGGGUCAUCUUGUGUUUCCCGACCUGUCUUAGAAUCACCUGUUUCUUUGAGGAUCCCUGGUUCCUUUUAUUGGAUUAACUAAGAUCUGGGUGCUGGAUUUGCUUCUUGCUCCUGGCUAUUUCCUCUUCUGGGCUUCCUAGGUGGCUCAGUGGGUAAAGAAUCCACCUGCAAUGAACGAGACACAGAUGAGGUGGGUUCGAUCCCUCAGUUGGGAAGAUCCCCUGGAGGAGGGCAUGGCAGCCCACUCCAGUAUUCUUGCCUUGAGAAUCCCCAUGGACAGAGGAGCCUGGUGGGCUGCCGUCCGUGGGAUCACGAAGUGUCGGAUACGACUGAGGUGACUGAGCACAUUUCCUCUUGCAGGACGGAGCUUAGGAAGUAAACACAUAGGUGUGCAUCCUGACACACAUAGGUAUAGUUUUGUGUUGUGUCAAGAGAUUUUUGUUUAUGUUUUUGUUUAUGAAGCUUAAAAUUUUGAAAUUAAAGUUAUGUUUCUCAUGCAAAAUGGUGUCUCUCUGGGUGCAGUUUUGAGUGUCUGUAAAUCAUGGUGCAUUUAAAGUGAAAGAAAGUGUAGUCGCUCAGUCGUGUCCAACUCUUUGUGACCCCAUGGAUUGUAGCCUGCCAGUCUCCUCUGUCCCUGGGAUUCUCCAGGCAAGAAUACUGGAGUGGAUUGCCAUUCCCUUCUUAGGGGAUCUUCCCAACCCAGGGUUUGAACCGUAGUCUCCUGCACUGCAGGCAGAUUCUUUACCAUCUGAGCCACCAGGGAAGCAUUUGGCAUCAAUCUUAAAGUAGACAUCCACCAUGGUGGCUCUAAUUACUUAGAAGCUAAUUAAAGGUAGUGAGUCGCAUUUCUUCUUUCAGCUGAACUCGCAGUGUUUUCUAAAGUGAGAACUUUGAAUAUGACUGUGGGAGUGCCUAGAUUUUCUCUGGCACACGUAGCAUUUUCUUUCCUGCCCUUGCAUUUUUUAAAAAAAACUUGUUGAUGUUGGAUCUUUGCUUUUUUUUUUUUUAAAAUGUCCAUUCUUUGAAACUUAUUUAUGUAAUUCUUGUAAGCUGUUCAAGGAAGGGUACUGUGCAAAUUUGUAGUGGAUGUUUUAAAUGAGACUUCAAAUUAGUUAACUUUUCAUCGGAAGGAAGCACACAGGUCUCAGUGAUUGGCAUGGUGAACAGUAGGUGCUCAGUAUGUGCAUGUGUUUUAACUUUUAAACAUGUCUCUGCCUCUCAGUCCAUAAUAAUAUAGCCAGUAAGGAUCUUUGUCUUGGUUGGCUGGCUAGGUAAUGAGUCUGUGUUCAGUAAGUUGAUUAACUUCCUUAGGCUUUAGUUUCCAUAUAGAGUAAGGAGUUGGAUAGAUUCUAGUAUUUUAUUUUUAAUAAUUCUUCUGCUUUAAAAAUAUUAUUAUUAUUAUUUUUUGGUUGCACCAGGUCUUGGUUGCAGCAUACAAGCUCUUCAAUCUUCAUUGUAGCAUUUCCAUAUCUUCAGUUGCAUGUGGGAUCUGGUUCUCUGACCGGAUUUCAGACUUGGGUCUGCUCCAUUGGGAGCGCAGAGUCGUAGCCACUUGACCACCAGGAAAGUCCCAGAUUCUAGUAAUUUAUGACUCUGUAGCCAUAAACACAUGAUGGUAUGAUUGUUAGCAAAUGAUAGUUCAUCUGGAGGCCCAGAGGAGCGUUUGUCCCGGAAGAGUUAGAAUUCUGAGAGAAGCCAGUGGGAUUAGUCCCCUGGUGCAAGGGCAACAGUGGGAUUUGGAAAGCAUAGCAGUAGAGGUCCGUUCUCUCUCUGCAUCAUUCUGAGUGCUCCUUACGGCUGUAUUGCCUGACUGAUACCCUCUUAUCUGCACUCCCAUCUUUUGAAAUCCUUUCACUCACAGAGUUGUCUUUGUGCUUUGGAGAAUGCACAUGCCUAGUAUCCUUGAACUCAGAUUACAAUCAUGUUCUUAUGUAAUCGCUCAUUCUACUUAUAUUACCUUUGUUUGUUUGUUUGUUUCUUUUUUUGUUUCUAAUUCAAAUUGCCUCAGAAAUUGGUGAUAGCAUGUGGCGUUUAAGAAAGAUCUAGUGAUUGACGUUUGGCCAUGUUAAUGUAAACUUUCUGGAGAUGUAUAGGGGGCUGAGAUAGUGACUAGAGAUUUUAGAAUUUAGAUAUUCUGGUUUAACCAUUUGAAAAAGAAAUGCUUUUGGAAUCAGAGACCCAGAGGGAAUUGAAGACUUGCUCAUGAUCUCAGAUUUGAUUCCAGAUUCAGUCAGAUUCCUUUCUGUGUCACCACACUGAUUUAUGAGAAUCCUGCCUUAGACCAAGAGGGUGGAGACAGAUGUUUUGUUUUGAUAGUAGUAUAUGAGGAUAACCCAUGUGCCAUAGUUACAAUUCUCUUUGCCUAGGAAGCCAACCACUUGUAUAACCUAUUAUAAAUAUAUGGCUUUUCAGUAGCCUACAUAUUAAUUUGAAGCAAUAAUUUUUAGGAAUAAAACACUCAGCAGUACUAAAGGAAUUGAUAUUUGGAAUUCAGAUGUCCUGUAAUUUCCGUAACACAACCACAGAAAUUAACACAGGAAAACAUUUAGCUGGUGUGGCUACAGUGAUUUUUAAUUUGGAAAUAGAGGGCAAUCUUAAACUAUAGUGGAGACAGUGAGAUUUUUAAGUUUUCCAAAAGUGUAGAUGAGUAGGAAAAAGUUGAGAAACUUGGCAAUUAAAGCCAGUAUGGAAUUCAAGCUGAGCAGUUUUAAUUUUCCAUUUUGAUUGACAGUGAGCCUCUUGCACAUUUUUUAUUUCCGCUUCCUUGUUUUGACAAGAUCUAAGAGGAUUAGAAAAUUAAAUGUUGAGGUAUUUUUUCUCCCCUUUGGCUUUUUUCUUCCCUUUCCCUUUGGCAAAGAUAGGAAUAUAAUUCUAUCUUGAGAAGAAAAAUAUUUAAUGAAAAAAAGAUAAUGGACUUCUCCAUGAGAUAUUUCCAGGUAGCGGAACACAGGUGAUGUUAUCUGUUUCUCUAGUAGGGCUAUAACUGGGCAUUAUUUUAUUGUUCCCCAGCUAAGUUGACUCUCUCUUUAGAACAAGUGAAGCUCCUGGAAUUAGUGUGAGCAAUAUUGCCGAAGAUGUUGCAGUUCUCCAGUGUGUCUUUUGAUUCCUUCUCAAGGAGUAAAAGCGUAUCUUCUGUGUCUUGGCACGCCUGUGCCAUUCUAUUGGUAAAGGCAUCCUUAUGCUUCAAGGUGGAUUCAUUUUUAAAAGUAGGAGCAAGAUGAUUAAUUGAUCUUGAAAAACAAUAGAUAUUUGUCACGUAUCUUAUUGUAAAGCGUAGAUGAGCUAAAUAGUUACUUUGGAAAUGGUCACUUUCUAACUUCCUUGCUCUGAAACCGUUGAAAAAGAUUGACUUAAUUAAAACAGACAUUCACAUUUUCCAGGCAAUCAAAAAUUUAUAUUAUAAAGUUGACUUCUUUUUUAUUUAUAAUUUCCCCUUUGCAGUUCUACUCAACUCUUUCCGAGAUUCUAGCCUAAAAUGAAGUUAACACUCAAAUUCAGUUACUGGAUUCAGUGGUGUCACACUUAACCUGCUGAGAAUUUCUGUCUUCUAAAGAAUCUGCCUGCAAUGAGGGAGACGUGGGUUUGAAAGAUCCCCUGGAGGAGGGAAAGGCUACCCACCCCAGUAUUCUGGCCUGGAGAAUUCCAUGGACUGUGUAAGUCCAUGGGGUUGCAAAGAGUUGGACAUGACUAAGCGACUUUAACUCAUUUCACAAAGCACUGUAUAAAUGCAAAAGUAGGCAGAGUAAUUGUGCUUGCUCUUAGGUUAUCACUGCUUUGUAUGAAGUUAGUGGAGUGUAGUCCAGCUGAAAUGCUGUGUUAAUUGUAAAUACAAAUUAUAAUUAUUAAUAGUAAAUAAAGGGCAGGUAGACACAAGCAGGGCUUCCCUGGUUGCUCAGUGGUAAAGAAUCCACCUGUGGGUUUGAUCCCUGGGUUGGGAAGAUUGCCUGGAGGAGGACGUGGCAACCCACUCCAGUGUUCUUGCCUGGAGAAUCCCACAGACAGAGGAGCCUGGUGGGCUCCAGUCCAUGGGGUCUCAGAGUCGGACAUGACUGAAACGACUGAGCACGCAUGCACAAACACAAGCAGAAGACAUCCUGAGCGUGGAAUUUAGGCUUGUAUAGACUUAAAAAGGACAACAGGAAAUCCUUGCGCAACCAGACGGGGUGGGUAGAUGGCUUCAGGAGGCAAUUCCAUUUAAUGUUCUGGGGAAGGAAUAUUUGUAAACCUAAUUAGAAGCAUGAGAUCUGUCUUUACCACCCAAGAUUCUGAAUUAGUGAAACUUGGGAGAAAGGACUAAAAUCUAUUCUGCGCGUUUUGAGCUGGAGACAUUUAGCACAAUGGUUAAGGAUGCUAGAUUUGUCUCAUUUACAAGCUGUGUGGUCUUGAGCAAAUUAUCUAAUCUGCCUGAACUUUCUUAUUUAUAUAAUAGGGGAGAAUGAAGGAGCCUGCCUCCUAACAGUCUUUUGAAGACUGAACUGUUUCUUUUCAAACAGGUGGCUUUUGAUACUAUUGAAUGUAAUGAUUGAGUUUGGAUGACUGUUACAUUUUAGCUUGGGAGGAGUUGGGUAGAGUAGAGGAGAGAUUAUAAACAUAAUUAAAAUUAAUGGAAUACAUCUUUGAUUGAUUAAAAGAGCAUAGUUAGAAUAGCUUAGAAUAGUGUCUAGUACAAAAUAAAGUUUUCCAGGUCGUGCAAUGGUAAAGAAUUUGCCUACCAGUGCAGGAGACUCAAGAAACACAGGGUCGAUCCCCUGGGUUAGAAAGAUCCCUUGGAGCAGCAAAUGGCAACCUGCUCCAGUAAUCUUGCCUGGAAAAUUCCAUGGACAGAGUAGCCUGGCGGGUUACAGUCCAGGGGGUUGCAAAGAGUCAGUCAUGACUGAGCACAUAUAUACACACACACACAUAUACACAGAGUGCUCAAAUAUGUUGUUAUAAUUAACAAUACACCUAUUUAAAAAAAAAAUUAUUUGGCUGUAUCAGGUCUUAGUUGCGCCAAGUGGAAUUUUGCUGCUUCCUACGGGAGCUUUCCUUGUGGUGCACAGACUCUCUAGCUGUGUCACAGAGGCUCUGGAGAGCACAGACUUGAGUAGUUGUACACACGGGUUUAGUUGCUCCAAGGCAUGUGAGAUCUUAGUUCCCUAAACAGGGAUUGAACCCACAUCCCCUGCAUUGUAAGGUGGAUUCUUAACCACCGGACCACCAGGCAAAUCCUGGUAUACCUAUUUCUUACUUAAUUAUAAUGGUAAAAUCAUUAUUAUUCCUUUUCAUAAAGGAGAAGUUUGAUAACUUGCUUCUUUGUAGGAAAGCCAAGAUUGAAAUCCAGGCUUUCAAAUUCCCAAGGCAGGCUACUGUUCCAUGCUUUCCUAUGCUGUGUAUCUAUUUUCCUAAAGGACUAACAAAUUCUUAUAUACAUUUAUUCCAAAAAUUUAGUGGGAGCUCACUGUAACCAUUAAGAUAAGAUGUCUUAUGCUAACUUUUUCUGUUUAACUUUUAUGGCAUCUUUGGUCAUUUUUGUUGGUAUAUUAUAGCUAUAAAACUGACUCACCAUAAACAAAAACCAUGAUUUUUAUACCCUAUCUGGAAAAAGAAUGAAAAUUCCCUCCUCCAAAUGCGAUCCAGCAGCAUAAGAUUCUCGAGGACAGCAGGGAUUAGGUGCUUUUGACAAGGAAGAAGUCGCACGUAAGAAGCCAGUGAUCCAUCAAGUGUUUCCUCUUUUCUGUUUUUCCCAAACUCAUGUGAUUACCAGAAUUCCUUGACUGGGGGAGCAUAUUCUGCUUGUAAAAAAUACAGAUUCCUAGGCCUCCAUGGUCAGUGAUUGAGUCCAUCUGGAGAGGGGCUCAGGCAUGUGUGUUAUUUAAGAAGCUUUCCCACUUGGCACGUAGCUUGGUUCACUGGCUGUCCGCUGUGUCUCGCCCAUCAGAAUUCUUGUGUUGUCCAUUCAAGGUGAGGGAAAGACAUCAUCACAAGGGACUGGAUGGUCUGUAAAUGCCUCAAGCUCUGCAGACUCCACUGAGGUUAGGGCAGUAGCUCUGCCUUUGUUGUGAGGACCCCCCCCGCCCCCCAUGACAGUUGUUGUUGAGCCUGAAGGUUGUCAGGAUGUUACAGCAAGAAAAAUGCUAGCCUGGAGGGUGUUCCAGUGCAGGGUGGUGCCCGAGCACCUGGGAGAGAGAGGGCAUUCAUGUUUCCAGCUGUGACUGCUGAUACUCUAUUGCUGAAUUAUGUGUUCAUUGUAUUCUUCACUUUCCAGUUUGGAAAUCGUAAGCCCGUGACCCUUUAAAGUGGUUUCUAGGGUUUCAGAGUCAUGCCUUUGACUUGACUGUACCUGUUAGCCAAGAUGAAUGAAUGGCUUUUUGGAAGAACAGGUUUUACAAGGUUACCAGUUUUGUCGCAUUGGUACUUUCUCAUAGUUCUAACAGUUUUGCUCCUUUUGAAAAACUUAACAGAAGAUAACAAUUCUGCAACUGGAACUCUUCAUUAGUAGUCUGGGGGUAAUUUUAGUUGACGGCGUGAACAAUGGUGGUCUGAUUGUGUAGCAGCGUCCUAGCCCAGAUGGAAGCAGCUGCAUCCUUUUUCUUAAUUUAGGAGGAAUGAAUCCCAUUGUUCUCAGAUCUCCAGGUGGAUGCUCAUGGGAAAAUGUGAGACAAGGAUAACACAGGUAUUAUUGAUCUCCCUGUAGUCCAACUUAUUAUUGUAAAUCUGCAAGGAAGGAGAAUCCCUUUUAACUCUAGAACCUAAGUAUGAAAUGUGGCUUUGAACUCAUAAUAAUUAUACACUUACAUUAUUUUUAGUUUAACAAGAUUUUUUCAUGAAUAAACUGUCAACAUUAUGUUAAUAUUCUAGUUGGGCCGACUUUGAAGAGUCUUUUUUUGUGUAUCAGGUAAACCGUAUGUAAAUGACAUGUCUGUCUAUCAUUUUAAAAUGUUAUAUAUUUUAUGACAUGUACCUCUUACUGACUGAUUUUUCCUUGUUAUUCCCCAUCAAUUACUGAUGGUCAUGUAUCUAUGUGAAAUGUUUGCAGUGGCUUAUAUUUAGGCAAGUUUAAUCCUGUUUCAAACUGAAUGAAGAACAUACCUUUUAUCCUUAUUUUACAGAUGAGGAAAGUUGAGGAAUUUUCUAAGGUCACAUGGCUAGUAAUGGUAGAACCAAGCUUCAAACCCAUCUCUUCCUGAUGUUUGAAAGCCCUGCUCAGAACAGAGGGAUAUCCCUGUAGUGCUGGCGCUGUGGCUGGAAGGCAUUUGUUGCAUUUAUUCCAACAGCACACACAUGAAGAAAGUCCACUUCAGGUGACUGCAGUGCAGGCCAUAGAGCUUAGACCAGUGUGACUGAGUGAAGUGAAAGUCACUCAGUUGUGUCCGACUCUUUGCGACCCAUGGACUGUAUGGUCCAUGGAAUUCUCCAGGCCAGAAUACUGGAGUGGGUAGUCUUCCCCUUCACCAGGGGAUCUUCCCAACCCAGGGAUCACAGAGGCAGGUGCAUAUCCUUAAUAUGUAUGCAGUUUACCUGUUUCUGUAUGUUAGAAGCUGUGUGGGUGAACAUGUGCUAUUUUGUGCUUUAAAGCAGUGCCUUCAGAAGGAAGCCGACUUGGUUUAGUGGGAACAUAGGCUCUCUCUAUAUAAUCCUGUAAAUCAUCUUUUUCUCUUUCACAGUGAAACUUUUUAAGUACAAGACAGGAAUUCAUAUUCAAGUUGAUUUUACUUAUCCAUGUUGACCUUUAAUAGGCGAAAAUAGUGCAACAGUUUCUUCUAUAGUUUGUCCUAUGUUAUAUUUUUGGUGUUACUUAGUUUCUGAGUCUGACUCUUUUGCAACCACAUGGUCUGUACCUCGCCAGCCUCCUCUGUCCAUGGAAUUUCCCAGGUCAGAAUACUGGAGUGGGUUGCCAUUUCCUUCUCCAAAGGAUCUUCUCGACCCAGGGAUCAAACCCAGGUCUCCUGCAUUGGCAGGAUUGAACCCAGGUCUCCUGCGUUGGCAGGCAGAUCCCUUACCACUGGGGCACCAAUGGAGCCCAUGCUGUGUUUUCCCUCUUCUGCUAAUUCCUUGUGAUCACAUAUUUAGGGCUAGUUGGAAAGUAAAGUUCUUCAAAGCUAUAGGUUUUGAAUACAUAAAUGCUUUUUUCUUUUCUUGAAGAUAAUAUGUAAAUUAUAUGGGGUGGAGGAAGGACAGGAAAAAAGGGUAAUCACUUGAGGACAUUCUUUUAUGUACAUGGUUUAAAAAAUCUUGGGUGUAAACUUAAAAAUGUAUUGUUGUGUGGCACUUUAAACAUUUUGAGAUAGAUUUUUUUCAAUUAUUUUCAGGAAUUGACUACUUACUACAAAUUAAAGAUUCCAUUAGUAAAACAGAAUUUUGCAAUGAAUUUCUUCUGUGAUUUUGGAUUCAGAAAACAAGUGGUUAGAAGAGAUCUUCACUGUUUUUGAAGACUUAUAAAACUGUAGUAAAAUCCAUGCUGCUCCCUGCCCCCGCCAACCCUGAUAACACCCUGCUGGUCCUUCAUAUAAUGAGAGGUAAUCUUGGAGAUGUUGUCUUAUUGUGAAAUGUAAACACUGACUGUUUAAUAAGCACUUUAUCUUGAUGGUGGAUUCGUCGUAGUUACUGAUGGAUGCUCACUUUAUUUUUUGAGGGUAAAAUUGGUGUUUAUAUUGAUAGAAUAAUGCAAAAAAGAAAAAUUGCAGAAGUUCAGUAAAAAUGCAAAAGAGCAUUCAAAAUACAUCCUUGUUUUUUUACAAUUCAUUUUUUAUCUUUAAAUUUUUUUCGGCUUUAUUGAGCUAUAAUUGACGUAUGAAAUUGUAAGAUAUUUAAUGAACACUGUGGUGAUUUAAUAUACAUACACAUUGUGAAAGGAGUCCCCCCGUGAAGUCAGUUGUCACAUCUAUCAUCUAAUCGAUUCAUUUUUUAUUGGUUUUUAGAAUAUUUAAGUUCUACUCUCAACAUUUCAGUUAUGCAGGACAGCUGGCCCUCUAUGUCUGUGGGUUCCAAGAAUGAGGAUAGAAAAUAUUCAGAAAAAAGAUUACAGAAAGGUCUAAAGAGCACAACUUGAGUUUGCCUAGUAGUGGCAACUAUUUACAUAGCAUUUAUCUUGUGUAAGGUAUUAAAAUAAUCUUGAGAUGACUUAGUCUUAGACUAUAUGCAAAUACAGUUGCCUCUUGAAAGUUGAGGAGUUUAGGGGUGCCUACCCUCCACGAGUUUAAAAUCCACAGUGACUUUACAGCUGGUGUUUUCCAGGUGGUAAAGAACCCGCCUGCCAAUGCAGGUUAGACGUAAGAGACACUGGUUUGAUCCCUGGGUUGGGAAUGUCCCUGGAGAAGGGAGUGGCAGUCCACUCCAGUCUUCUCGCCUGGAGAAUCGCAUGGACAGAGGAGCCUGGAGGGCUACAGUCCACAGGGUCACACAGAGUCAGACACGACUGAAGUGACUUAGCACACAGCACCCGUAUCUGUGGCUCCGCUUCUUUGGGUUUAACCAGCCCCAGAGCCUGUGGUCCUGCAGAAUGAGCUUAGUGAAAGAUCCAAGUAUGAGUGAACCCACACGGCUGAAACCCACGUUGUUAAGGGUCACCUGUGCCUCCCCAUUGCCUGUAAGGAAAGGGCCUGAGCAUCUGUAGAUUUGGUGCCUGCAGGGGUUCCGGACACCCUCUCACCCCGACAGGAUACUGAGCACAACUGUGUGGUCAACCAUAGUCACCACGUUAUAUGCUGGAUCUCAUACCUCAUUUAUCGUAUAACUGGAAGUUUGAACCUUGGCCAUCCUCUCCCUGUUUCCCCCGUAGCCAUUGGCAGCCACUUUUCUCUUUCUAUGUGUCAGUGAUACUGCACCGUGCAGUAUUUAUCUUUCUUUGUCGGGUUCAUUUCACUUAGCAUAAUGCCCUCCAGGGUCAUCCAUCUUAUUGCAAUGAGAGGAUUUCCUUUUUUUUUUCCUAAGGC
Molecule: long non-coding RNA, 12569 nt
Organism: Cervus elaphus (red deer)
Lineage: Eukaryota; Metazoa; Chordata; Mammalia; Artiodactyla; Cervidae
Exons: 3
Source: RefSeq, a predicted model, not a curated record